Molecule: ribosomal RNA, 329 nt
Filed under: Harmonia conformis
Lineage: Eukaryota; Metazoa; Arthropoda; Insecta; Coleoptera; Coccinellidae
Description: partial 12S ribosomal RNA
Source: RNAcentral
GAUACCCUAUUAUUAAUUAAUUAAAUUAUAAAGCUAAGUGAUUAAUAGUUAAGUUCUUUAAAACUAAAUAAUUUGGCGGUAUUUUUACUUUUCAGAGGAACCUGUUCUAUAAACGAUAAUCCACGAUUAAAUUAACUUUAAUUAGAAAUUUUUAUAUCGUCGUUGUUAAAUAUUUUUAUAGAAUUUAAUAUUUAAUAAUUUUUUAAAAAUUAAAAUCAGAUCAUGGUGAAGUUUAUAUUAAAGAAGAAAUGGGUUACAUUAAUUUAUAAUUAUGGAUUAUUAUAUUUUAAAAAUUUUAUGAAAUUGGAUUUGAUUGUAAUUAAAUAUUA